This 1952-nucleotide long non-coding RNA is filed under the name Bemisia tabaci. Its description in RNAcentral is "lncRNA ENSSSA3NGG007664". Lineage: Eukaryota; Metazoa; Arthropoda; Insecta; Hemiptera; Aleyrodidae. The record is from RNAcentral.
AUGAAUAGUCUAUUUAAUCCUUUGACUCCUCUUGUAAUGAAUUCUAAACGCCAGUUCGCUUGCCGAACUCGGUGCUUAACGAUUUUCUUAAAGUUAGGAAGAUCAUUUAAGAUGCUCGAGUCAUUCAUAACUUCUCGAAUUGUUCUGUUUUUCAGGCGAGCAGCAAGAGAGGUCGUGCUUCCCGUUAGGAGGUCAAGAACAGACACACCGGUUUCACCGAUCGUUUUGCUUCUCAUGCGCUCCAGUUCCGUCUGGCAAAUCACUUCAAAUUGUUUUACAUUAAAGCGCCUUCUCAGCGCGGCAGGUCCUGGUUUGCAUCCAUUUGGGAGCAUCCGCGGUUUUCAGCGUUCCCAACGACGACGCGGAGAUGCUCACGGUCCUGGCGCGCAGGGGUCCUCCGAAAAAAGGAAAAAAAGACUACCAUAAUCCGCAGGAUAUUUGCGAUAACUCUGGAAACUAUAACGAAAAAGCAAUGCAGCUACAAAAAGGACCCCUGCGGAAAGAUGGGGUGCUGGUGCAGUGAAGGAAACCCAACUUUUUGUUUGUGAAAAGAACCUCUUUCUUUGCACUUAAACCUAAGCUGACUAAACUUUAUUAGAAUUGAUAUGUGAGGAGUCUAAUUUGACCGCGUUCAACAGAUAGAAACCAAGCCACACCAGUCAUUGCCAAAUUUAAUUAGGCGAUAUAAUGUUUUACAUGAAAACGAUUAUGCGGAUUAUGGACACUAUUUCAUGAAAAAUUGCGGCAUUUUUUUCUUUUCUGGGGGGGGGGGUGUGAGGGUGUGUGAGGGUGUGGGAGGGGAGGGUGGGAGAGGGGGUGUGAGGGUGUGAGGGUGUGUGUGUGUGCGCGCGCAAAAUCGCAGCAAUAGACACGUAAAGAGCCAUAAAAAGUCAUAAAUUUUGAUAUUUCUGAUGAAAAAGGGGUUUUUAAGAUGAAAGCCAAUUUUAAAAUGGGAGGGCUAAGAACUUCCUGCGUCCCUGCGUCAUUUCCCAUUUAGUUACAUUUAUUUUAGCAGAUUAGGUCAUUAUUUCCUUCGUAUUCCUACCGAUAAUAAUUGUUCAAUUCAGGAGCCAAGGGUAUCCACUUGUUUAGUUCUCUUAGCAGUUUCAUUUUACGCAUGAAAUUCACAAAAUUUCAGACACCUGCGACAGUGGCGUGGCGUGCUUUGCGAUAUAUCGAUUGAUCUGCCAUUUAAACCUAUGGCGAAGAAUCGAUGAAUAGAGUUUUCGCAACGAACACCUUAAUAAUCGAUUCUUUACCAUAGCUUUAAAUAAGGAAAUAUCGAUAACCGAUCUUUCACGCCUCGCCACUAACCUGCACAUUCUCCAUUAAUCUGGACAAUGAACGCGGAUUCCCCACGCACGAUAUCUCCGAUACGAUACUCUAUAGAAACUCACGGACACUGAGCACUUCAAAGGACCAAUUGGAUUGCAUUUUGCAAAAAGGAACCACUAGCAUUGCAAUGAUGCUAAGAUUGUGCAACUUCAUCCUUUGCAAUAUAAUUGCGGAAAUUGUGAAAAACUAUGAAAUUUAGAUGGUAAUUUUGUCUUAAAUUUACAGUUAUUAGCGAAAAAAUAGAAACGAUUAAUGGAUACUCGGGGUUUUCCUCCAAGACAAAAGAAGUUGCACAAUCUUAGCAACAUUGCAAUGCUAGUGGUUCCUUUUGCAAAAUGCAAUCCAAUAAUUAUGAAAUGUCCUCUUUCAAUAAAUUCUGAAUUGAUAAAACAUUUUAUAUAAAAUAUAAAAUACAAUAUUCAAUGAUGCUUGCGGAAGACUCCGAGGAUAAGGAUAAUAAGUGUCACAUUUGAAGUAAACUAAUAAAAUGUGCGCGGUCGAACCUCCUUUCAUUCGAUUUUCAUAGUUAUCUUGAAGUUUGUGUUCAAGUUUGUAGUUAGAUAGAAAGUUGUUGAAAAUAAUAUAAAGAUGCUACGGUAGAUCCAGUCUCCUGUUUG